GUACACACCGCCCGUCACACCAUGGGAGUGGAUUUCACCAGGAGUAGGUAGCUUAACCCUCGGGAGGGCGCUUACCACGGUGGGGUUCAUGACUAGGGUGAAGUCGUAACAAGGUAGCCGUAGGUGAACCUGCAGAAGGAUCA
Molecule: ribosomal RNA, 143 nt
Filed under: uncultured eukaryote
Lineage: Eukaryota
Description: partial small subunit ribosomal RNA
Rfam family: Bacterial small subunit ribosomal RNA
Source: RNAcentral